This 548-nucleotide ribosomal RNA is filed under the name uncultured Glomus. Its description in RNAcentral is "SSU rRNA". It matches the Rfam family "Eukaryotic small subunit ribosomal RNA", at positions 548 to 1097 of the family's 1831-position model. Lineage: Eukaryota; Fungi; Glomeromycota; Glomeromycetes; Glomerales; Glomeraceae. The record is from RNAcentral.
UUGGAGGGCAAGUCUGGUGCCAGCAGCCGCGGUAAUUCCAGCUCCAAUAGCGUAUAUUAAAGUUGUUGCAGUUAAAAAGCUCGUAGUUGAAUUUCGGGGUCAGUAGGUUGGUCAUGCCACUGGUAUGUACUGGCCUCACUGAUUCCUCCUUCCUGAUGAGCCGUAAUGCCAUUAAUUUGGUGUUGCGAGGAAUCUGGACUGUUACUUUGAAAAAAUUAGAGUGUUUAAAGCAGGCUAACGCUUGAAUACAUUAGCAUGGAAUAAUGAAAUAGGACGUUCGAUCUUAUUUUGUUGGUUUCUAAGAUUGACGUAAUGAUUAAUAGGGAUAGUUGGGGGCAUUAGUAUUCAAUUGUCAGAGGUGAAAUUCUUGGAUUUAUUGAAGACUAACUACUGCGAAAGCAUUUGCCAAGGAUGUUUUCAUUAAUCAAGAACGAAAGUUAGGGGAUCGAAGACGAUCAGAUACCGUCGUAGUCUUAACCAUAAACUAUGCCGACUAGGGAUCGGAUGAUGUUAAUUUUUUAAUGACUCAUUCGGCGCCUUACGGGAAC